Molecule: ribosomal RNA, 492 nt
Filed under: uncultured bacterium
Lineage: Bacteria
Description: partial 16S ribosomal RNA
Rfam family: Bacterial small subunit ribosomal RNA
Source: RNAcentral
AGUGAACGCUGGCGGUAGGCCUAACACAUGCAAGUCGAACGGCAGCACAGUAAGAGCUUGCUCUUACGGGUGGCGAGUGGCGGACGGGUGAGGAAUACAUCGGAAUCUACUUUUUCGUGGGGGAUAACGUAGGGAAACUUACGCUAAUACCGCAUACGACCUACGGGUGAAAGCAGGGGAUCUUCGGACCUUGCGCGAUUGAAUGAGCCGAUGUCGGAUUAGCUAGUUGGCGGGGUAAAGGCCCACCAAGGCGACGAUCCGUAGCUGGUCUGAGAGGAUGAUCAGCCACACUGGAACUGAGACACGGUCCAGACUCCUACGGGAGGCAGCAGUGGGGAAUAUUGGACAAUGGGCGCAAGCCUGAUCCAGCCAUACCGCGUGGGUGAAGAAGGCCUUCGGGUUGUAAAGCCCUUUUGUUGGGAAAGAAAAGCAGCAGGUUAAUAUCCCGCUGUUCUGACAGUACCCAAAGAAUAAGCACCGGCUAACUUCGUG